AGAGAAAAAAAAACUUUGAACGGAGAAAGAAAAGAAAUAAAAGAAAGAAAACCUUUCACGACUCUUCUCCUCCAUUAGCCUCGCGUCUCCAUCGAGUUUUUCUCCGUCUGUUAAUGAAAAAAAAAAAUCCGACGAACACUGAUAGUGAAACUUUCUCUCACUAUAUUCGCGAAGAAGACACCAUCAUCGAAUCGAAUUCAGAUCACACAAUACGCCAUAGAUAACUCAACUACAGAUCUGUUAUCUCGAUCGGAAACCGCCGUAACUCGACAUCCUCUCUUUCGAUCUGAUUCCAUAACCGUGAAGCCUCUCCCGAAUCUCUCGUUCCAGCGUCUUUAUCCUCCUACAAAGCUAAUGUUCAGUCCUCUUCUCUCCGUCGUCCUUCAUCCGGAGAUCUACUCACUUCUUCCGGCGAUUUCCUCCGUCUCUGGGAUAUUAACCAAGAUUCUUCCACAGUUGAGCCUAUCUCGGUUCUCAACAACAGGAAAAUGAAGAUCCUUUUCAUGAUGUAAAGAGCAAAGAAGAGACAAGUAAACCCCUUUAUGAUUCACUCCUUUCAGGUAAGUAUUAUUUCCCUUAUACUCUUAUUAAACCUUUAGGUCUGCAGCUAUUGAUGCAUAUUUGUUUCAAACUUAAUUUGGUUCAAUCUGUUUGAUUCUUAGAACCUCCUGAUUUAAGUAUUUGGUUUUCAAGCUAUGUCUAUGAAUCACCGAUGCUGGAUGGUUUUUGUGAAGAAAGGGUCUAAGAAGAAGGUUAGUUUUUAAAAAAAAAUUUAUAAAACAUCUCUUGUCAUAUCCCUCGUAAAUCAUAAUGCAUCAUGACUUCUUUCUAUUGUGUUUUCUCUUGUAGUGAUGUUACGUAAUAUAUAUACUCUUGUAGUGAUGUUAAGUAACAUAUAUAAAUCCCAAGGUUUGCUUUUUUUUUUUUUUUUUCCGUAAUACUUUAGUUUAGUAAACAUGAAUUGAAGUUCUGCAUAUGUAAUGAUAUGGUUAUCUGUUGAUUGUAAAUCUUAUUGGCUAUUACAAGUUAUACUAGUUUGGUUUAUGUCCUCAGAUUUGGUCUCACUAUAAGUGUUUCUGCCGCUUUUAUAUGUUGUAGAACCAGUGAUGUUAUCGAGCCUAUGAUAAAGCCCCGGUGGUAUGUUAAUGGCAACAUGAUUGGGAAGGAAGCUCUUGGUGUUGCCACCACUGAUGAAAAAAAGAAGCCCGAGUUUAUACCAAAGCAAUACACAGCAGAAUGGUGAAGCAACAUGUCCUAUUGAGGAUGCAACAGGUCCAGGCUCUCCAACUAAGAAAACUCUACCGCAUUCACAGGAAUAUCAAGUAAAUGUUUUCGAUAUGUUAUGAAGUUGUUUCUGUCAAGUCAUAUGAUUGUUGGUUGGGUUCUAAUGCAGUUAAAGUGUGGGUAGAUAUUGUCAAGGUAAGCGAUGCAGCAGUUUGGAGGCCAUCAGAAGAAAUCGAGAUGAUGGAAGAUGCCCUUGGCACAGUCAUUGCAUGGCCAGAGGACAAAGUGAUCAUUAUGUCUUAAAUUAACCAUGAGGUUUACUGUCUCCUACUUUAGACUUACAAUCUAUCUUAUGGAUUUGCUUUUUAUCUUCAGACUUGUCUUGUUCCUUAUGGAUUUUAAACUUGUGUUAUGUACUAUGUAUUAUGUUUGAUUGUGAAAUGGUGAAUUAGGGAUUUAAUAUUAAUA
Molecule: non-coding RNA, 1692 nt
Organism: Camelina sativa (false flax)
Lineage: Eukaryota; Viridiplantae; Streptophyta; Magnoliopsida; Brassicales; Brassicaceae
Source: RefSeq, a predicted model, not a curated record